This 253-nucleotide ribosomal RNA is filed under the name uncultured bacterium. RNAcentral describes it as "partial 16S ribosomal RNA". It matches the Rfam family "Bacterial small subunit ribosomal RNA", at positions 524 to 776 of the family's 1533-position model. The record is from RNAcentral.
UACGAAGGGGGCUAGCGUUGUUCGGAUUUACUGGGCGUAAAGCGCACGUAGGCGGAUUGUUAAGUCGGGGGUGAAAUCCUGGAGCUCAACUCCAGAAUUGCCUUCGAUACUGGCUUUCUAGAGGCUGGAAGAGGUUAGUGGAAUUCCCAGUGUAGAGGUGAAAUUCGUAGAUAUUCGGAAGAACACCAGUGGCGAAGGCGGCUCACUGGCCCGGUACUGACGCUGAGGUGCGAAAGCGUGGGGAGCAAACAGG